GACGAACGCUGGCGGCGUGCUUAACACAUGCAAGUCGAACGGAAAGGCCCUGCUUUUGUGGGGUGCUCGAGUGGCGAACGGGUGAGUAACACGUGAGUAACCUGCCCUUGACUUUGGGAUAACUUCAGGAAACUGGGGCUAAUACCGGAUAGGAGCUCUUGCUGCACGGUGGGGGUUGGAAAGUUUCGGCGGUUGGGGAUGGACUCGCGGCUUAUCAGCUUGUUGGUGGGGUAGUGGCUUACCAAGGCUUUGACGGGUAGCCGGCCUGAGAGGGUGACCGGCCACAUUGGGACUGAGGUACGGCCCAGACUCCUACGGGAGGCAGCAGUGGGGAAUAUUGCACAAUGGGCGGAAGCCUGAUGCAGCAACGCCGCGUGCGGGAUGACGGCCUUCGGGUUGUAAACCGCUUUCGCCUGUGACGAAGCGUGAGUGACGGUAAUGGGUAAAGAAGCACCGGCUAACUACGUG
This 468-nucleotide ribosomal RNA is filed under the name uncultured bacterium. Its description in RNAcentral is "partial 16S ribosomal RNA". It matches the Rfam family "Bacterial small subunit ribosomal RNA", at positions 28 to 507 of the family's 1533-position model. The record is from RNAcentral.